GUUUGAUCCUGGCUCAGGACGAACGCUGGCGGCGUGCCUAAUACAUGCAAGUCGAACGCGUCUCCGUUAAUGAUUUUAGGUGCUUGCACUUGAAAGAUUUAACAUUGAGACGAGUGGCGAACUGGUGAGUAACACGUGGGUAACCUGCCCUUGAAGUAGGGGAUAACACUUGGAAACAGGUGCUAAUACCGUAUAACAACCAAAACCACCUGGUUUUGGUUUAAAAGACGGCUUCGGCUGUCACUUUAGGAUGGACCCGCGGCGUAUUAGCUUGUUGGUAAGGUAACGGCCUACCAAGGCGAUGAUACGUAGCCGACCUGAGAGGGUAAUCGGCCACAUUGGGACUGAGACACGGCCCAAACUCCUACGGGAGGCAGCAGUAGGGAAUCUUCCACAAUGGACGAAAGUCUGAUGGAGCAACGCCGCGUGAGUGAUGAAGGGUUUCGGCUCGUAAAACUCUGUUGUUGGAGAAGAACAGGUGUCAGAGUAACUGUUGACAUCUUGACGGUAUCCAACCAGAAAGCCACGGCUAACUACGUGCCAGCAGCCGCGGUAAUACGUAGGUGGCAAGCGUUGUCCGGAUUUAUUGGGCGUAAAGCG
This 600-nucleotide ribosomal RNA is filed under the name uncultured Lactobacillus sp. Its description in RNAcentral is "bacterial SSU rRNA". It matches the Rfam family "Bacterial small subunit ribosomal RNA", at positions 11 to 567 of the family's 1533-position model. Lineage: Bacteria; Bacillati; Bacillota; Bacilli; Lactobacillales; Lactobacillaceae. The record is from RNAcentral.